Molecule: long non-coding RNA, 684 nt
Organism: Hyla sarda
Lineage: Eukaryota; Metazoa; Chordata; Amphibia; Anura; Hylidae
Exons: 5
Source: RefSeq, a predicted model, not a curated record
GCAAAAUGAAAGAAGCGAGCUGAUUGGUUGCUAUGAGCAACUGGGCAACUUUUUCUUUGCACAGGUUUUGAUAAAUCUCCCCCAGAAUUGUUAAUAUGGUGAAAGAUAUAAUUGGGCAUGGAAAAGAAAAAAAAGAGAAUGAACCAUUUACAAUUUCAUGAACAUAGGACUAAUACUCGUCCAUAUUUUGGAGAAAUAUCGUGAAUUUGAACAUGUCCCCUGCCGCUCAUCACUAAACAGAAUAAAGAAAAAAUAUUAUACAAAAAAUUGUAACGAAAAACCCCAGAAGAGGAAAAAUAAAUGACAAAGCUAUCAACUGGAAUCUCUGGGGAUAACCCAGCAUCAGCCUCUGAGCUUCCCGCACCAUUCCGGUGAUCCAUGGCGGCCCUACUACGCUGAUCCAUUUCACAGCGUUUAAUUGGAUAACAACUUUAUUCGUCUGGAUCUUCCUCAUUUCCUACUGGAUCUUAGACCAACUCUUCACCUGCCUACCAGCAUAAAGUUUUUCUUCUCUCAUAUACUUUUGAAAGACAUGAUUCUUCAUAGUUACAUAGUUACAUAGUUAGUACGGUCGAAAAAAGACAUAUGUCCAUCAAGUUCAACCAGGGAAUUAAGGGGUAGGGGUGUGGCGCGAUAUUGGGGAAGGGAUGAGAUUUUAUAUUUCUUCAUAAGCAUUAAUCUUAU